GUUGAACGGAGCUGCGCCGAUUGGGUAACCAACAAUGUACCUGAAAUAUUAUAACUUCUACAUAAUCAUUCCGCGCAUAGUUUUGGUAAUUACACAAGGCCAAGCAAAUGAAAGUUUUAAUUUUUGUUUUAAUUCAACUCUUGAAGGUACGUGACCUGAUUACCAUGCAAACGACAUAAACGACAAAAACGUCGACAGCUUCUCGUUGAAUACCAUACAUAUACAUACGUCAACUUACCUAUGCAUGCACUCUAUACUGAUAUCGAUUUGGUUAUGUUCGCCAGGUUUCAGACUUAAUACAACAGUUUUGGUAACAAAAGGUGUUUCCGAAAGGAUAGAAUGCAUCAUGGAAUGUGUCAAGGAGCCAUGUUGUAGGUCAAUCAAUUACAACAAGACUUUUCAUAAUAAACCAAAUUGUGAAAUGCUACAUGACGUGAUCUACAAUACAUCCGAGAAAGCAUUGGGGAGAAACUCUUCCUAUGAUUAUGUUUAUCUGGUUAACCCACAAAAGG
Paramuricea clavata is the source of this 512-nucleotide non-coding RNA. NCBI's taxonomy places the organism in Eukaryota, Metazoa, Cnidaria, Anthozoa, Malacalcyonacea, Plexauridae. The record is from the annotation of a GenBank genome assembly.